UGAAUACGAGACGCUAAGGCGUCGAAGUAGUGUAUGUCAUACUUCCAAGAAAAGCUUGCACUGUCAUAAGUAAAAAAUGCCUGUACCAUAACCGACACAGGUGGGUAGGUAGAGUAUACUAAGGGGCGCGAGUUAACUCUCUCUAAGGAACUCGGCAAAAUAACUCCGUAACUUCGGGAGAAGGAGUACCUUAUUCUAUAAGGUUGCAAUAACAAGAUCCAAGCAACUGUUUAUCAAAAACACAGGUCUCCGCUAAGUCGUAAGACGAUGUAUGGGGGCUGACGCCUGCCCAGUGCCAGAAGGUUAAAGAAGUCGGUUAGCAUUAGCGAAGCUGGUUACUGAAGCCCUGGUGAACGGCGGCCGUAACUAUAACGGUCCUAAGGUAGCGAAAUUCCUUGUCGGGUAAGUUCCGACCCGCACGAAAGGCGUAAUGAUUUGGAUACUGUCUCGGAGAGGGGCUCGGUGAAAUAGACUUGUCUGUGAAGAUGCGGACUACCUGCACCAGGACAGAAAGACCCUAUGAAGCUUUACUGUAACUUGAAAUUGAAAUUGGACUUUAUUCGCGCAGUAUAGGUGGGAGGUGUUGAUUAUAAUCUUGCGGGAUUAUUGGAGCCAUCAGUGAGAUACCACUCUUGUAAUGUUAGAUUUCUAACUUUGAAUCAUUAUCUGGUCAAAGGACAGUUUCAGGCGGGCAGUUUGACUGGGGCGGUCGCCUCCCAAACGGUAACGGAGGCGUACAAAGGUUUCCUCUGAACGGGUAGAAAUCGUAUCUAGAGUGUAAAGGCAUAAGGAAGCUUGACUGUGAGACCUACAAGUCGAACAGGGACGAAAGUCGGUCUUAGUGAUCUGACGGUACUGAGUGGAAAGGCCGUCACUCAACGGAUAAAAGUUACUCUAAGGAUAACAGGCUGAUCUCCCCCAAGAGUUCACAUCGACGGGGAGGUUUGGCACCUCGAUGUCGGCUCAUCGCAUCCUGGGGCGGUAGUACGUCCCAAGGGUUGGGCUGUUCGCCCAUGAAAGCGGUACGCGAGCUGGGUUCAGAACGUCGUGAGACAGUUCGGUCCAUAUCCGGUGUAGGCGUUAGAAUAUUGAGAGGAGCCUUCUUUAGUACGAGAGGACCGAGAAGGACAUACCUCUGGUGUACCAGUUAUCGUGCCAACGGUAAACGCUGGGUAGCUAUGUAUGGAGUGGAUAACCGCUGAAAGCAUCUAAGUGGGAAGCCCACCUCAAGAUAAGUAUUCUCAUC
RNAcentral lists this ribosomal RNA (1246 nucleotides) under metagenome. RNAcentral's name for it is "bacterial LSU rRNA". It matches the Rfam family "Bacterial large subunit ribosomal RNA", at positions 1564 to 2818 of the family's 2925-position model. The record is from RNAcentral.